Long non-coding RNA from Passer montanus (Eurasian tree sparrow), 226 nucleotides. RefSeq lists it as uncharacterized. The transcript is spliced from 3 exons. Lineage: Eukaryota; Metazoa; Chordata; Aves; Passeriformes; Passeridae. The record is from RefSeq and is a predicted model, not a curated record.
UUCUGAAGUGAUCUGGUGUUCCUGUGUAUGGGCAGACACCUGAAGCCUGCUGAUGUGGUACAUCACUUUUUGAUGACUAUAUCACAUGACACGUGGAUUACGUAGAUCAUUAUUAGCAGAUGGAUGUUGAGGGGAAAAGAUGGGGAAAGGAACUGUAGCAGCCCUCCAGGACUUGUGUCACUCUUCAGGUAUAAAGGCAGAACUGACUGGAUGUGAGACACAGCGG